CAGUAGCCACGGGAAUACAGAGGGUGCGAGCGUUAAUCGGAUUUACUGGGCGUAAAGCGUGCGUAGGCGGCUUCUUAAGUCGGAUGUGAAAUCCCUGAGCUUAACUUAGGAAUUGCAUUUGAUACUGGGAAGCUAGAGUAUGGGAGAGGAUGGUAGAAUUCCAGGUGUAGCGGUGAAAUGCGUAGAGAUCUGGAGGAAUACCGAUGGCGAAGGCAGCCAUCUGGCCUAAUACUGACGCUGAGGUACGAAAGCAUGGGGAGCAAACAGGAUUAGAUACCCGGGUAGUCCCUGUCUCUUAUAC
RNAcentral lists this ribosomal RNA (301 nucleotides) under uncultured bacterium. Its description in RNAcentral is "partial 16S ribosomal RNA". It matches the Rfam family "Bacterial small subunit ribosomal RNA", at positions 509 to 807 of the family's 1533-position model. The record is from RNAcentral.